Molecule: long non-coding RNA, 1034 nt
Organism: Egretta garzetta (little egret)
Lineage: Eukaryota; Metazoa; Chordata; Aves; Pelecaniformes; Ardeidae
Exons: 3
Source: RefSeq, a predicted model, not a curated record
UGCAGGUAGGCAGGAGCCCCCCGUAGCUGAGUGAGGCAGCAUGGCAAGGGUUGCCGGUCUGCGCUGACAUCUCCUAGCAACAGUGCUCCCCAUGGCCCAUGACUGGCAUCCCACGGGCUGCCCAUCCCAUCCUGGGGGUCACACUGCCCUGUAGCCUGUGUGGCUGGUGGCACUGGGCAUCUGCAUUCCCAGCGGAUGGGCAGCUGCCUAACUCAGCCCUGCCAGGAGCUCGCUGCAUCUUGGUGCCUGAAGGAGUGCCUAGCAGAUGGGGCUGCUCGGGGCCAGCAGCUAAAGCUGGGCUGAGACUGGCGAGGGUGCAGGGUGGAGGAUGGCGUGUGGUCUGUAAAGACCUGGACUCAACCCUCCCUCCUCGCUCUUCUGGGCAGCCCGCAUGGAGGCUGCAUGCAGCGAUGUGAUGGGAGCUCAAGGAGGACGGCAGUUGUGAACAGGGAGAUGUAGAGAUCUGUCUGGGAUCUUGGGAUUUGCUUGGGGUGUCGCCAGAGACAGCUGUGAAGGUGGAGGCAGUACCCAUGCUGGGCAGGAGGAAGGACCCAGGGAUGACAGGUCCCUGAGGGAAAUUGGAGGUGGGGAGAGGCACACACCUCCAUCGCAGCAUGCUUUCAGUCAGGACAUUGCUCACGAUACCUGCCUGCCUGUGUGUCUGUUUUUAUUUCCCACGAUAGUGGCCAGUUCAGCAUGGCAAAACAGGGUGUCUGGUACCUGCAGGAAUGGAAGACUCUGACAGUGAGAUCUGUGGCCAAGCUUGUUGCUCCAAGGUGUGCUGCCGAAGUUGGAAAGAGGCUCAGACUCAAGUGCUGAAGAGGGGAGAGUUGAUACCGCAGCCUGAUCAAGACAAGAGGUAAAGGAGGCGAGGCCAGACUGCUCCAGCAAAGGAUGGGACCUUUGUGGAAUGGAUGGUGUCUUUGUAAAAUUUCAUCUAAUUCUGGAAAAGGUUAAGAGAAGGUCAGCCUGCCAACCUGCUCCCUCUCCAGCCAGGAUAGUCCCCCUCAACUGUGAAAGCCAAGGCAAGCGGA